Molecule: ribosomal RNA, 253 nt
Filed under: uncultured bacterium
Lineage: Bacteria
Description: partial 16S ribosomal RNA
Rfam family: Bacterial small subunit ribosomal RNA
Source: RNAcentral
UACGUAGGGUGCGAGCGUUACUCGGAAUUACUGGGCGUAAAGCGUACGCAGGCGGCUUUGCAAGACAGGUGUGAAAUCCCCGGGCCUAACCUGGGAACUGCAUUUGUGACUGCAUGGCUAGAGUUUGUCAGAGGGGGGUGGAAUUCCACGUGUAGCAGUGAAAUGCGUAGAUAUGUGGAGGAACACCGAUGGCGAAGGCAGCCCCCUGGGAUGUGACUGACGCUCAUGUACGAAAGCGUGGGGAGCAAACAGG